Molecule: unclassified non-coding RNA, 329 nt
Filed under: soil metagenome
Description: partial contains 5.8S ribosomal RNA, internal transcribed spacer 2, and large subunit ribosomal RNA
Rfam family: 5.8S ribosomal RNA (bases 1-120)
Source: RNAcentral
GAUGAAGAACGUAGCGAAAUGCGAUAAGUAAUGUGAAUUGCAGAAUUCAGUGAAUCAUCGAAUCUUUGAACGCACAUUGCGCCCCCUGGUAUUCCGGGGGGCAUGCCUGUCCGAGCGUCAUUACAACCCUCAAGCUCAGCUUGGUGUUGGGCCCCGCCGCCCCGGCGGGCCCUAAAGUCAGUGGCGGUGCCGUCCGGCUCCGAGCGUAGUAAUUCUUCUCGCUCUGGAGGUCCGGUCGUGUGCUUGCCAGCAACCCCCAAUUUUUUUCAGGUUGACCUCGGAUCAGGUAGGGAUACCCGCUGAACCUAAGCAUAUCAAUAAGCGGAGGA